GUCGAGUGCGCGUGCCGUAGCAAUACGGUAUGGCGCACGGCGCACGGGUGCGUAACACGUGGGCAAUCUGCCCUCCGGUGGGGAAUAACCCCGCGAAAGCGGGGCUAAUUCCGCAUAACAUUCCCUGGACUCUGGUUCGGGGAUUCAAAGCAGCAAUGCGCCGGAGGAGGAGCCCGCGCCCGAUUAGCUAGUUGGUGAGGUGACGGCUCACCAAGGCAAUGAUCGGUAGCUGGUCUGAGAGGAUGGCCAGCCACACUGGAACUGAGACACGGUCCAGACUCCUACGGGAGGCAGCAGUGGGGAAUCUUGCGCAAUGGGCGAAAGCCUGACGCAGCGACGCCGCGUGGGGGAUGAAGCUUCUCGGAGUGUAAACCCCUUUCGACCGGGACGAAUGCCCGCAAGGGAGUGACGGUACCGGUAGAAGAAGCCCCGGCUAACUACGUGCCAGCAGCCGCGGUAAGACGUAGGGGGCCAGCGUUGUUCGGAAUUACUGGGUGUAAAGGGUUCGUAGGCGGUGUGGCAAGUCGGGAGUGAAAUUUCUGGGCUUAACCCAGAAGCUGCUUCCGAAACUGCUGUGCUAGAGUGCGGGAGAGGCGCGUGGAAUUGCAGGUGUAGCGGUGAAAUGCGUAGAUAUCUGCAGGAACACCCGUGGCGAAAGCGGCGCGCUGGACCGUUACUGACGCUGAGGAACGAAAGCUAGGGGAGCAAACA
RNAcentral lists this ribosomal RNA (711 nucleotides) under uncultured delta proteobacterium. RNAcentral describes it as "bacterial SSU rRNA". It matches the Rfam family "Bacterial small subunit ribosomal RNA", at positions 61 to 774 of the family's 1533-position model. The record is from RNAcentral. Lineage: Bacteria; Deltaproteobacteria.